Molecule: ribosomal RNA, 686 nt
Filed under: uncultured bacterium
Lineage: Bacteria
Description: bacterial SSU rRNA
Rfam family: Bacterial small subunit ribosomal RNA
Source: RNAcentral
CAUGCAAGCCGAGCGAGAGAGUGACUUCGGUUGCGAGUAAAGCGGCGAACGGGUGAGUACAACGUGGAUAAUCUACCCUAAGGUCCGGGACAACCCCGAGAAAUCGGAGCUAAUACCGGAUAAGACCACAGUAUCCAAGGAUACAGCGGUAAAAGAUUUAUCGCCUUUGGAUGAGUCCACGUCCCAUCAGGUAGUUGGUAAGGUAAAAGCUUACCAAGCCUAAGACGGGUAGCCGGCCUUAGCGGGUGAACGGCCACAUGGGGACUGAGACACGGCCCUGACUCCUACGGGAGGCAGCAGUGGGGAAUAUUGGGCAAUGGGCGAAAGCCUGACCCAGCGAUGCCGCGUGAGGGAUGAAGGCCUUCGGGUCGUAAACCUCUGUCAGGAGGGACGAUGGGACACUUGUGUCUCGACGGUACCUCCAGAGGAAGCCCCGGCUAACUCCGUGCCAGCAGCCGCGGUAAUACGGAGGGGGCAAGCGUUGCUCGAAAUUACUGGGCGUAAAGGGUCCGCAGGCUGUCAGGCAAGUUGGUUGUGAAAGCUCAAGGCUUAACCUUGGAAUUGCAUCCAAAACUGCCUGACUAGAGUCCAAGAGAGGUUGGCGGAAUUCCCGGUGUAGCGGUGAAAUGCAUAGAUAUCGGGAGGAACACCAGAGGCGAAGGCGGCCAACUGGCUUGGAACUGACG